UCCUGGGGAUAGAAGGCUCCAUUUUGAGAAGCCUAUUCUGCCUUCUAGACUGAAGGAGAAACAACAUAGAUGUGCUUGUGUGGCCAAGCCAGGCCAACUCUGAAAAGGCCAUCCUACUCUACCAGUAACGACAUGCAGUGUGGAAAGAUCAUUUUCAACCAUGAAGCGAGUGAAAAGUGUAUCUAGAAGUUUAAUGACAGACCAGAGACUUAAUGGACUAGCAAUGAUUUCCAUCCAUCGGAACAUCACUAUCAAACCAGAAAAAGUAAUUGACAAAAUGGCCGGGGAGAAGAAAAGAAGUCUGUUGCUGUCAGAAGGAAAGAAAGAAGGAAGACAAACAGCUAAUGACAGAAUCACAGAAUACAAAGGAAAUCAAGUUGAAAUUUAUCAUCUGCAUCAAUAGCAGCAAAACUUUUAAGGAAGAGGCCUAAGGAGCUAUCUUUGGAUUUGGCAAUGAGAAGGUUGUACAUUAUCUUUGUGGAGUGUAAAGAAAAAAGUCAGAUCAGAAGAGUUUAAACAGAAAUAGGGGGAGAAUCUGGCAGCAGGAAGAAGGAACAUCUUCCACGUAUUUAGAAAUAUAUGGAAGAACAGAAACUGGGUAGAGGGUGAAUCAAAUGAUUUAUUAUAUGUUUUAUUAUAUAUAGAGGGGGGAGAGUUGGGAGAAAGUGCUGUGUCUGAAAGGAAUCACAGGAAAGACACAGCUAAUAAAAUGGUGAAGGAAGAUUAGAGAGAACAUAAUGACUAGAAGUUAAAAAGAUCAGAAUCAAGGCGACACACGUAGGUGGAAUUAGGUGAGGAUAAUAGUGUAAUCAACACAUCAGACAUGGCACGAGAGAAAUAAAGAAGAGAGAAGAGAAAAGUGCUGGAGGAGGAAGAACUCAAAAAAAGAAUGUUAGUGAAACACAUAGAUUUUAUUUAAACACUGAAUGAGGUAGCAAAAUCUAGAUUGUAAUAUAGAAAUUGUUUCAAAACAAUUUUUAUGAGAAACAGAAAUUAAAUCAAAUCCUUCAAAAAUUAAUCCAAAUUCCACCAAAGCUAUGGGUGCCACUUGAUACUGAUCUAUAACAGAUUAAUUGUGUAAAUACCCAUUUUAGAAACCUUUCCUGUAUUCCUCAGAUCUAUGGUAGAUUACUUUUGUACUCAGAAAUCUUUGCGUUCUUAAAAGUUACUCAUUUUGACAUUUAUGGGACAGAAAAAGUUCUUAAAUUUCUCUUCAGGACUCCCAGAUUUGAGGUUUUAAUGCAUAAAAGUGCACUUUGUAAACAAGGGAGCCACGGGACAGUAAGAUGGAGCAGUUUGGAGUACAUAAACGUAUCCUCUCCUGACCCUGGACAAUGCCUUUUUAAAAGUAAGUGAACUGUGUACC
Anolis carolinensis (green anole) is the source of this 1366-nucleotide long non-coding RNA. RefSeq lists it as uncharacterized. The transcript is spliced from 3 exons. NCBI's taxonomy places the organism in Eukaryota, Metazoa, Chordata, Lepidosauria, Squamata, Anolidae. The record is from RefSeq and is a predicted model, not a curated record.